Molecule: ribosomal RNA, 253 nt
Filed under: uncultured bacterium
Lineage: Bacteria
Description: partial 16S ribosomal RNA
Rfam family: Bacterial small subunit ribosomal RNA
Source: RNAcentral
UACGAAGGGGGCUAGCGUUGUUCGGAUUUACUGGGCGUAAAGCGCACGUAGGCGGAUCUUUAAGUCAGAGGUGAAAUCCCAAGGCUCAACCUUGGAACUGCCUUUGAUACUGGGGAUCUUGAGUCCGGGAGAGGUGAGUGGAACUGCGAGUGUAGAGGUGAAAUUCGUAGAUAUUCGCAAGAACACCAGUGGCGAAGGCGGCUCACUGGCCCGGUACUGACGCUGAGGUGCGGAAGCGUGGGGAGCAAACAGG